Molecule: ribosomal RNA, 202 nt
Filed under: uncultured bacterium
Lineage: Bacteria
Description: partial 16S ribosomal RNA
Rfam family: Bacterial small subunit ribosomal RNA
Source: RNAcentral
AUUGAACGCUGGCGGCGUGCUUAACACAUGCAAGUCGAUCGGUAACAGGUGUAGCAAUACAUGCUGACGAGAGGCGGACGGGUGAGUAAUGCUUGGGAAUCUGCCUAUUAGGUGGGGGACAACCCGGGGAAACUCGGGCUAAUACCGCAUACGCUCUAACGGAGGAAAGCCGGGGACCGCAAGGCCUGGCGCUAAUAGAUGA